RNAcentral lists this microRNA (24 nucleotides) under Acacia auriculiformis. RNAcentral describes it as "aau-miR168". Its record names the gene aau-miR168. Lineage: Eukaryota; Viridiplantae; Streptophyta; Magnoliopsida; Fabales; Fabaceae. The record is from miRBase by way of RNAcentral.
AUUCAGUUGAUGCAAGGCGGGAUC